AGAGAGUUAGUCCAAACAAGACCUCUGAUUUCGGCUCAGAAAACCACAGUUAAAAUCUGUGACUCCCUU
RNAcentral lists this transfer RNA (69 nucleotides) under Ailia coila. RNAcentral describes it as "tRNA-Arg". It matches the Rfam family "tRNA". Rfam says of the family: Transfer RNA (tRNA) molecules are approximately 80 nucleotides in length. Their secondary structure includes four short double-helical elements and three loops (D, anti-codon, and T loops). The record is from RNAcentral. Lineage: Eukaryota; Metazoa; Chordata; Actinopteri; Siluriformes; Ailiidae.